CGCUUUUUGUAAAUAUAAAAAGUCUUACCUGCCCAGUGUAAAUAAUAAAAUAAACGGCCGCAGUAUCCUGACUGUGCUAAGGUAGCAUAAUGAUUUGCCCCUUAAUUAGUGGAUGGAAUGAAUGGUUGGACGAAAGCAUAGCUGUUUCUAAUAUAUUAUACAUAAUUUAUCUUUUAGGUUAAAAUUCCUAAAUUUUAUUGAGGGACGAGAAGACCCUAUUGAAUUUUAAAAAAAUGUCAUAAUAGGAUCUUAUUAUCAUAAAUCUUCUUAUUUGCAACAAUUUUGGUUGGGGCAACCUAGGAACAAGAAAAGCUUCCUAUUUAAUAAAAUAAUAGCUAUUUUGGAUCCAGCAAUAAUGUUGAUAAAAGGAAUUAAUUACCAUAGGGAUAACAGCGUAAUUUCUCUUGAGAGAUCUAAUCGAAAGAGAAGCUUGCGACCUCGAUGUUGGAUUAGAGUAUUUAAAGAGUUGUAGGAGCUCUUAAAAUUGGUCUGUUCGACCAUUAAAAUUCU
Molecule: ribosomal RNA, 510 nt
Filed under: Chondrocyclus cooperae
Lineage: Eukaryota; Metazoa; Mollusca; Gastropoda; Architaenioglossa; Cyclophoridae
Description: partial 16S ribosomal RNA
Rfam family: Bacterial large subunit ribosomal RNA
Source: RNAcentral